CGAAGUAUAGCAUAUAAAAUGCUUUUUACUUACACUGAAAAUAAGAUGUUAAUCUACUUCGCAU
RNAcentral lists this transfer RNA (64 nucleotides) under Eiseniella tetraedra. RNAcentral describes it as "tRNA-Val". The record is from RNAcentral. Lineage: Eukaryota; Metazoa; Annelida; Clitellata; Crassiclitellata; Lumbricidae.